Molecule: transfer RNA, 69 nt
Filed under: Rattus norvegicus (Norway rat)
Lineage: Eukaryota; Metazoa; Chordata; Mammalia; Rodentia; Muridae
Rfam family: tRNA
About the family: Transfer RNA (tRNA) molecules are approximately 80 nucleotides in length.
Source: Rfam by way of RNAcentral
GGGGAUUUAGCUCAGUGGUAGAGCGCUUGCCUAGCAAGCAUAAGGCCCUGGGUUCGGUCCCCAGCUUCG